This 245-nucleotide ribosomal RNA is filed under the name uncultured Anaerovibrio sp. RNAcentral's name for it is "partial 16S ribosomal RNA". It matches the Rfam family "Bacterial small subunit ribosomal RNA", at positions 524 to 769 of the family's 1533-position model. The record is from RNAcentral. Lineage: Bacteria; Bacillati; Bacillota; Negativicutes; Selenomonadales; Selenomonadaceae.
UACGUAGGUGGCGAGCGUUGUCCGGAAUUAUUGGGCGUAAAGGGAGCGCAGGUGGGAUUGUAAGUCAGUCUUAAAAGUUCGGGGCUCAACCCCGUGAUGGGAUUGAAACUACAAUUCUUGAGUGCAGGAGAGGAAAGCGGAAUUCCUAGUGUAGCGGUGAAAUGCGUAGAUAUUAGGAGGAACACCAGUGGCGAAGGCGGCUUUCUGGACUGUAACUGACACUGAGGCUCGAAAGCGUGGGGAGC